Small nucleolar RNA from Dioscorea cayenensis subsp. rotundata (Guinea yam), 131 nucleotides. RefSeq annotates it as small nucleolar RNA snoR74. The record is from RefSeq and is a predicted model, not a curated record. Lineage: Eukaryota; Viridiplantae; Streptophyta; Magnoliopsida; Dioscoreales; Dioscoreaceae. The transcript has a single exon.
AAAAAAGCAGGGUUCUAUUGCAUUUUCCAGUAGCUCUCUCCGAAUCUCUGGGGAAAUUAUGUGCAUUGUUAGUGGGUGAACCACUAUUGAUUAUCUCAACGGUAAACAGCUUGGUAAAUGAUGAUAGAUAA